UACGAAGGGCCCGAGCGUUAAUCGGAAUCACUGGGCUUAAAGAGUGCGUAGGCGGACAUGUAAGCAUCUUGUGAAAUCCCACGGCUCAACCGUGGAACUGCUGGGUGAACUACAUGUCUUGAGGUUGGUAGAGGUUACCGGAACUCUAGGUGGAGCGGUGAAAUGCGUAGAUAUCUAGAGGAACGCCAAAGACGAAGGUAGGUAACUGGGCCACAUCUGACGCUGAGGCACGAAAGCGUGGGGAGCAAACGGG
Molecule: unclassified non-coding RNA, 253 nt
Filed under: uncultured Phycisphaeraceae bacterium
Lineage: Bacteria; Pseudomonadati; Planctomycetota; Phycisphaerae; Phycisphaerales; Phycisphaeraceae
Description: contains 16S-23S intergenic spacer region
Rfam family: Bacterial small subunit ribosomal RNA
Source: RNAcentral